UGUAUGUUUGUGUGUGAUAUGUGUACACAUAAACACACUAACACAUACAUAUAUGUAUGUGUAUGUAUGAACAUUUCUCUCACUCUGUGUGUGUUGUGUGCCAAAAUUGGUUCAAUUGAAGUUGAUUACUUUUCUAUUAAGUACUCAAUGAAAAUAUAAGCAUAGAGUUUCAUGGCUUCUUUAAAAUAUAAAAGUAUGCGUUUCAAUCAUUUACAUCGUCUGUCUUUAUGGUAGUUCUCACAGCUCGACGCUAAGGGGUUGUUUAUGAAUAAUUAGGGUUUAUUACACAGUGCAGUCUUGUUAAGGUUACUAGAAUUGUAAAUCGAUGGCUGCAAGCUCAUUUCCAGCGUGGAGUAGGGUUUCCAGAGGAGAUAUGUUCUGGAAUGACAGACUUUGCGUAGCAUUUGGGUAAGACCUGUUUAGUAUAUGUGAGAAAGUAAGAGAGGGAAACGAGGGAAAAACAGAAAAAUUAUAGAGAAAGGAGGGAAGGAGAAACAGAGAGAGAGAGAGAAGGAAGGUAAAGAUUAAAAAGAGAGAGAGAGAGAUAUAUGUAUAUAUGUG
Octopus sinensis (East Asian common octopus) is the source of this 561-nucleotide long non-coding RNA. RefSeq lists it as uncharacterized. The record is from RefSeq and is a predicted model, not a curated record. The transcript has 4 exons. Lineage: Eukaryota; Metazoa; Mollusca; Cephalopoda; Octopoda; Octopodidae.